GACGAACGCUGGCGGCGUGCUUAACACAUGCAAGUCGAACGGAAAGGCCUGCUUUCCCUUGUGGAUUGCGGGUACUCGAGUGGCGAACGGGUGAGUAACACGUGAGUGAUCUGCCCCCAACUUGGGUAUAAGCCCGGGAAACUGGGUCUAAUUCCCGAUAGGACUGCAGGGUGGUGCCUGUGGUGGAAAACGAUUUUCUAGUGGUUGGGGAUGAGCUCGCGGCCUAUCAGCUUGUUGGUGGGGUAAUGGCCUACCAAGGCGGCGACGGGUAGCCGGCCUGAGAGGGUGGACGGCCACAUUGGGACUGAGAUACGGCCCAGACUCCUACGGGAGGCAGCAGUGGGGAAUAUUGCACAAUGGGCGGAAGCCUGAUGCAGCGACGCCGCGUGGGGGAUGACGGCCUUCGGGUGGUAAACUCCUUUCGACCGCGAGGAAGCCACCUGGUUGGAAGGGUGGUGACGGUAGUGGUAGAAGAAGCACCGGCUAACUACGUG
This 494-nucleotide ribosomal RNA is filed under the name uncultured bacterium. RNAcentral describes it as "partial 16S ribosomal RNA". It matches the Rfam family "Bacterial small subunit ribosomal RNA", at positions 28 to 507 of the family's 1533-position model. The record is from RNAcentral.